CCUGUGCUUCGUGGAUCUAUCAGCGUGCAUCGAUGUGAUGUGUCUUCGCCGGCGCCGAUUCCUUUCCAUUUGGAGGUUUUUCUGACCACCCCAAAAGGACGUUCUCUGGUCGAAGUGGUGGAGUAAAAGCUCUGGCAAUCAAAAUUGCUGACCUGACGAAGAUCUCGAAAGAGAAAUCUGUAAAAAUAUUUGUGUGCUAAUAAAUGCUCCUAGCAAUUA
Long non-coding RNA from Dermacentor albipictus, 219 nucleotides. RefSeq lists it as uncharacterized. Lineage: Eukaryota; Metazoa; Arthropoda; Arachnida; Ixodida; Ixodidae. The record is from RefSeq and is a predicted model, not a curated record.